AUUAUGAGCACACGCAUAUAAGACAUCAACCAGUGAAUAUACUGCAAUAGAAUAUAUGGUGCUACACACAGGACCAGGAGGAAAGAGAAACAUGAAAGAGAGUGCAGGAAAAAGGAGGAAAUGUUGGCGAGACGAGUGUGAAACCGAGAAUCUGUGGCAGGUUUGGUUUUCUUAGACCUCUCACCUUGCGUGCUACCACAUCGUUGCCUCAGUAACGUGGAGGAAUUUCUGACGGGGAAAAAAACAAAAGGCCCGCUCUCAGAAAAGAAGAAAAACUACUGAGAGGCCAAGAAAAAAGCAAAGAGGGAAAAGCAAAGCACUGGUCAAACAGAACCAUAUGGGAGAGUGUGGGGCUGGCUUUGAUCUUGGCCCAACGCCUGAUUGAUGCUGCGCUUUUCAUUUCCUCGUCAAGGCCGUGACAUAAUGUUUCACUAACACUGGAGACCCCUCGCUCUUCUCUUUCCUCAUCUCGAUCCCUCGUGCCUCUAAUUCACCCUGUUGCCACCUCACCGCAGAACCGGGGACGAAACGUUCGUGCAUUGCUAAACAACAUGUGCGGCAACACAGCAAAACAUUCUGGGCUUUGAAACGACCGUCAGACGAUCUCUAAUGUGACACAAGAGAAAGAUGUGAUCGAUACACGAACUGGGAUGAGUCUUUCAGUAUCUGAAGGUGGACAUCUGCAAGGCUUGUUUGAUACGGCUGCGAUGACCUCACUGUUGCUAGCGUGCGGAAAAAGCCGGGUCAUAGAUGAAAGACCACUGCAAUCUGUGUUUGACUGACCUUCGCUCACCUCCCUCUCCAGAGCUCUGGGUCACAUCCACACAUCUGGGAGCCAUUUCCUCCCCAAAGGACUCACUUCCUGUGUGCAGCCGCUUAACAUGGAGGUGUUUCUGCAAGAGGUCAUGGUGGGAUCAUAGGAAAAGGUCUUUGGUUAAAGUUUCCCUGCAGCAACUUCUCAUUCUUUUGCAUCGGACAGGAUGACAACAGUGAGACGGUUUUUCUCUUUGAUCACAACACCUGGACGUCUCCCACAAAUCAAACGACAGAAGCUUACAAAAAAGACUUCUGGUGGAUUUUAUAUAUCCUACAGAUGGGAGCUUCAGCUGUCUGACUCAUCUUUAAGAGACUCUUGAGCACUUUUCAGAGUCUGAUAAGUGUCUUGAGGAUUUCUCUAGACAUGUCAUGCACUUACAGUCGACACUUGCAAACUUUAGUUGUUUCUAUGCCUUUU
Cyprinus carpio carpio is the source of this 1234-nucleotide long non-coding RNA. Lineage: Eukaryota; Metazoa; Chordata; Actinopteri; Cypriniformes; Cyprinidae. The record is from Ensembl.